Molecule: long non-coding RNA, 2052 nt
Organism: Liolophura sinensis
Lineage: Eukaryota; Metazoa; Mollusca; Polyplacophora; Chitonida; Chitonidae
Exons: 2
Source: RefSeq, a predicted model, not a curated record
CGGAAAAAGCACGUAACGCAAACGAGCAGUUUGUUGACUGUAUCGCUCUCAAUCCCUUGAUGCGCAACAAGUCGAUAGUGCUACAGAGACGUUUGAAUGAGACUACCCACAGCAACCUUUGACCACAGUCACUUGUGAUUUAACUCUUGUCGGCGUAGUUUUUUUGUUUUUGCAGAGCAAAUCGAUUUUACCGGUUUGUAUUUAGUCCCGGUGGACAACGACCCGUGACCUCUAAGAGCUGGGCCUUUGUUUGACAAGCGUGAUUGUCAAUAUGCAUAUUGUACUAAUGUUAUGUUAGCCCCCCUGGGCGACACACUCUAACGUUUACGGAGAGUGGCGAGAUCACAUAGAAGUCACAGUCAACUAAUUAAGAGGGGGAUGCACGCAUCUUUCUGAGGUUGAGCUCGAAGAUUUGGAGACGUUUUCAUGUUUUCCUUUUUCAUUUCGUCCAAGUUUUCAUAAAAAGCUCAUCGUCUUUCCGUGUGAUAAGCAGGUGCUAAGACUGAUCGGGAUGCCUCGGAUACGACGAAGUUCACAGUUUUUCUUACAUUCGGCGUGGAUUCAGCCAAAUGCAGACGAUUUUUGCACGAAACUCACGCAUCAAACGUGAUACUGAAGAGGCCAUGCUCUGCCUAAACGAUGACAUUGUAAGAGAUCUUUGUGACGUAAUUCCGGCUGAGAAGGAAAUGACGUCAUUUGUGUGCUCGUUCCCAGUCGAGAGUACGUGACAUGUCUCGAUUGUCUCGCCAAGGUGAUAAUCUGCUUUGAUCUCGCCUGUUUGCGCCAUGUCUCCAUCUCUGUCUAACGGACAAUAACUUUAAUUUAACCAUGGCCUUUUAAGGGAACCUUUAAAAACCAGAUUUUUCAGAGAGACUGGAACCGAUGCGGACAAGGACACUCACUGUGGAAACUUUGAGGAAAAAUAUGAAAACGUUUUGCAGAGUGUGUACCCUGUGAGAAUAUAAAAACACAAUUUUUCAUGGACAAAUUUCUUUCGGCAAACAGAGUCUGGAUCAGAUGUUACCAUUAAAGGAAAACCAAAAUGGAAAAGUCUUUUUUGUCUCUAAGUUAAAUGGAGAUGUUAUAUGACAGAGGCUUACGCUGUGGUUGUGGUGCGUUACACAGCUCUCGUCCAGAGUUUGAACAAGUCCAUCUGAACUGGUUCACAAUGCCAGGAGUCGAUGACCGGCAAAUAAACAGAAUAGUGUUAAAAUGUUGCUGUAUUGAUGCAUAUAAUUCUGUGGAACUUUUUCACAUUUCCAGUAAAAUUCGCUGUUUACUGCUAAACCGUGAAGCAUCUUGAGGUGGAAUGCGUGUAUAGGGUUGUUUUCUGAACAGAGAAAAAGAUCGCUUUACGGAGUUUUAGUUUUAUUCCUUAUAAAUACACAUGUGUACUAGGAGUUGGAAACAACGCCUUCAAAACAGUUUCUUUUUGUUCAAUUUAACCCCAAACUUAAGGUUUCAGUAUUCGAAUUAAGGUAAAUAAGGCCAUAUUCUUCUCCAUGAUCUAGUUAUAAUUGAUUCUACAGACGAAUCAAAACAUAGUCCAAAAAAAAAACAGUUAUAGACAUGCAAAUUGAUUACAAUCAGUUAAAAUUGUUAAUUGGAAUCAUAAAUGUUUUUCAAAUGGAUAAUACAGAUUAAACAAUUUAAAAAGUUGAGAGUCUCUUAACUCGGUCACGCUUCAACCCUAAUUUAAGCGUCAGUGAAAUGCAGCUAUAUAGUAAACAAAGGAACGGGGUGGGGAUGGCUACGUCGAUAAUCGCAAGGCCCAUUUCCAAACCAACUUUAAAGGCCGGAUACCUAUAGGAAACAUGUAAAACCAUUUGCCAACUAUCACACUGUCGUCGCUGCUCUGGAUUUACUCUCUGCGCUGUACUUCUUUAAUAGCAUUGCAUUCCAGCACAAACCAGGAUUCUACUGAUGGAGCAAGAAUCCCGAGGACUGGUCCCUUUGCAUUGUUUUAAUGUUAUUGUAUAUUAAAUGAGAUGACAACACAACAUAUUUAGGAAUUGUAGACCAGUGGCGUCAAAUAAAUUGCAAUUAACAUCA